GAUGAACGCUGGCGGCGUGCCUAAUACAUGCAAGUCGAGCGAACAGACGAGGAGCUUGCUCCUCUGACGUUAGCGGCGGACGGGUGAGUAACACGUGGAUAACCUACCUAUAAGACUGGGAUAACUUCGGGAAACCGGAGCUAAUACCGGAUAAUAUAUUGAACCGCAUGGUUCAAUAGUGAAAGACGGUUUUGCUGUCACUUAUAGAUGGAUCCGCGCCGCAUUAGCUAGUUGGUAAGGUAACGGCUUACCAAGGCAACGAUGCGUAGCCGACCUGAGAGGGUGAUCGGCCACACGGGAACUGAGACACGGUCCAGACUCCUACGGGAGGCAGCAGUAGGGAAUCUUCCGCAAUGGGCGAAAGCCUGACGGAGCAACGCCGCGUGAGUGAUGAAGGUCUUCGGAUCGUAAAACUCUGUUAUUAGGGAAGAACAAAUGUGUAAGUAACUAUGCACGUCUUGACGGUACAUAAUCAGAAAGCCACGGCUAACUACGUG
RNAcentral lists this ribosomal RNA (497 nucleotides) under uncultured bacterium. RNAcentral's name for it is "partial 16S ribosomal RNA". It matches the Rfam family "Bacterial small subunit ribosomal RNA", at positions 28 to 507 of the family's 1533-position model. The record is from RNAcentral.